Molecule: ribosomal RNA, 421 nt
Filed under: uncultured bacterium
Lineage: Bacteria
Description: partial 16S ribosomal RNA
Rfam family: Bacterial small subunit ribosomal RNA
Source: RNAcentral
UUUUGGACAAUGGGGGAUACCCUGAUCCAGCUAUCUCGCGCGUAUGAUGAAGGUCUUCGGGUUGUAAAGUACUAUUUGCAGAGAAGACAAGGUAUCUCCUAAUACGAGAUACUUCUGCAGGUAUAUGGUGAAUAAGCAAGUGAUAACUACGUGCCAGAAGCUGCGGUAAUACGUAGGGUGCAAGCGUUAAUCGGAAUUAAUGGGCGUAAAGGGUGCGCAAGCGGUUUAUCAAGAAAGGUGUGAAAUCCCCGGGCUUAACCUGGGAAUGGCACUUUUAACUGAUAGGCUAGAGUAUGUCAGAGGGGGGUAGAGUUCCACGUGUAGCAGUGAAAUGCGUAGAUAUGUGGAGGAAUACCGAUGGCGAAGGCAGCCCCCUGGGAUAAUACUGACGCUCAGACACGAAAGCGUGGGGAGCAAACAG